RNAcentral lists this non-coding RNA (219 nucleotides) under uncultured Clostridium sp. RNAcentral describes it as "SAM riboswitch (S box leader)". It matches the Rfam family "SAM riboswitch aptamer (S box leader)". From Rfam's summary of the family: The SAM riboswitch is found upstream of a number of genes which code for proteins involved in methionine or cysteine biosynthesis in Gram-positive bacteria. The record is from RNAcentral. Lineage: Bacteria; Bacillati; Bacillota; Clostridia; Eubacteriales; Clostridiaceae.
UCUUAUCAAGAGUGGUGGAGGGACUGGCCCUAUGAAACCCGGCAACCUAUAAGUAAUUAAGAAAGUAAGAUUUCACUUGGUGAAAAUUUAAAUUAAUUAUUUAAAUUUUAAAGCUUAGUAGCAGCAGGCUACUUAAAGAGUGAAAAAUCUUAAUGAGCGUAAGCGUCUUAAUUAUUUUAUGUGGUGCUAAUUCCUGCAGUUUUUAACUGAGUGAUGAGA